RNAcentral lists this ribosomal RNA (465 nucleotides) under Vreelandella stevensii. RNAcentral describes it as "partial 16S ribosomal RNA". It matches the Rfam family "Bacterial small subunit ribosomal RNA", at positions 338 to 795 of the family's 1533-position model. Lineage: Bacteria; Pseudomonadati; Pseudomonadota; Gammaproteobacteria; Oceanospirillales; Halomonadaceae. The record is from RNAcentral.
CCUACGGGUGGCUGCAGUGGGGAAUAUUGGACAAUGGGCGAAAGCCUGAUCCAGCCAUGCCGCGUGUGUGAAGAAGGCCUUCGGGUUGUAAAGCACUUUCAGUGGGGAAGAAAGCCUUGGGGCUAAUACCCUCGAGGAAGGACAUCACCCACAGAAGAAGCACCGGCUAACUCCGUGCCAGCAGCCGCGGUAAUACGGAGGGUGCGAGCGUUAAUCGGAAUUACUGGGCGUAAGGCGCGCGUAGGCGGUCUGAUAAGCCGGUUGUGAAAGCCCCGGGCUCAACCUGGGAACGGCAUCCGGAACUGUCAGGAUAGAGUGCAGGAGAGGAAGGUAGAAUUCCCGGUGUAGCGGUGAAAUGCGUAGAGAUCGGGAGGAAUACCAGUGGCGAAGGCGGCCUUCUGGACUGACACUGACGCUGAGGUGCGAAAGCGUGGGUAGCAAACAGGAUUAGAUACCCCUGUAGUC